This 404-nucleotide ribosomal RNA is filed under the name uncultured archaeon. RNAcentral describes it as "bacterial SSU rRNA". It matches the Rfam family "Archaeal small subunit ribosomal RNA", at positions 595 to 997 of the family's 1478-position model. The record is from RNAcentral.
GGAACCGGGAGAGGUAAGAGGUACUACAGGGGUAGGAGUGAAAUCUUGUAAUCCCUCGUGGGACCACCUGUGGCGAAGGCGUCUUACCAGAACGGGUUCGACGGUGAGGGACGAAAGCUGGGGGCACGAACCGGAUUAGAUACCCGGGUAGUCCCAGCCGUAACGAUGCUCGCUAGGUGUCAGGCAUGGCGCGACCGUGUCUGGUGCCGCAGGGAAGCCGUGAAGCGAGCCACCUGGGAAGUACGGCCGCAAGGCUGAAACUUAAAGGAAUUGGCGGGGGAGCACAACAACGGGUGGAAGCCUGCGGUUUAAUUGGACUCAACGCCGGACAACUCACCGGGGGCGACAGCAAUAUGUAGGCCAAGCUGAAGACUUUGCCUGAAUCGCUGAGAGGAGGUGCAUGG